Papaver somniferum (opium poppy) is the source of this 638-nucleotide long non-coding RNA. RefSeq lists it as uncharacterized. The record is from RefSeq and is a predicted model, not a curated record. The transcript has 3 exons. NCBI's taxonomy places the organism in Eukaryota, Viridiplantae, Streptophyta, Magnoliopsida, Ranunculales, Papaveraceae.
GUUUAUGGUUUUGCUUAAAACAAAUUUCAUUCAACAAUUUUUUUCCAACCAUUUUACAGGAUUUGUCGAUUUUCUGCAGAGGAAGUACACUUUUAUCAUCAAAAGGAAUCGGCAAAUCCUGACAGUUAGAAAUGACGAUUCCUAACGAUGGGGAUGUUUUGUCAUCAAAAGCUGUUCGUCCAAUCUUUGGUGACCUUUUGGAUAACGUCUGACCAAGUUGAAGAGAUAUGAUUGAUCAAAGCCAAUGAUGGGUUAUCGACCACCUUUAAUUAAAAGUGUAGGCUGCGUAUUUAAAGAAACUUGAUUAGAUGACAGGAAAUAGGGUCCGGAAUACAACCAACUUUAAUUAAAGUGUAGGCUGCGAUUUUGGAGCAAUUUGAUUGGUCGAUGGGAAAGAGGGACUGGCGGCCAGCAACAUGGGGCAUGGACGGUUGGUAAUAGGAGGCGCAAACUAGGGCAACCGGCCGACCAAGUGACGCAGCCGCGCCCCUUUGGAUGUUGUCCUCACUUGUCGCAGUUUUCCUUUUAUUUUUUGUUUUCCAACUUUUAGUAGGAUUCUGCUCCUACUGGUUCCAUGAUGGAACGAUUUCCUAGUUUGUCUAGGGUUAGUCUCGACCAAUAGGGAUCGAGAUAUUGCG